This 500-nucleotide ribosomal RNA is filed under the name uncultured bacterium. Its description in RNAcentral is "partial 16S ribosomal RNA". It matches the Rfam family "Bacterial small subunit ribosomal RNA", at positions 28 to 507 of the family's 1533-position model. The record is from RNAcentral.
GACGAACGCUGGCGGCGUGCUUAACACAUGCAAGUCGAACGGGUCUGCCCUGUUUUUUGCGGGGUGGGUCAGUGGCGAACGGGUGAGUAACACGUGAGUAACCUGCCCCUCACUUCUGGAUAACCGCUUGAAAGGGUGGCUAAUACGGGGUGUUCUGGCUGUGCCGCAUGGUGUGGCUGGGAAAGAUUCACUUUUGUGGUGUUUUGGUGGGGGAUGAGCUCGCGGCCUAUCAGCUUGUUGGUGGGGUGAUGGCCUGCCAAGGCUUUGACGGGUAGCCGGCCUGAGAGGGUGGGCGGUCACACUGGGACUGAGAUACGGCCCAGACUCCUGCGGGAGGCAGCAGUGGGGGGUAUUGCACAAUGGGCGGAAGCCUGAUGCAGCGACGUCGCGUGAGGGAUGGAGGCCUUCGGGUUGUGAACCUCUUUCGCCGGUGAAGAAGGUCCUGCUCUUUGUGGUGGGGUUGACGGUAGCCGGGUUAUGAAGCGCCGGCUAACUACGUG